AUUCGGCUGUCUCCCUCCGCUUCUCAGCGGCUCCGGCCGCGUGGGAGGUGGGAGCACUGGGCAAGUGGCUUCGUAGGAUGCUCCUUAGUGAGACCAGCCGGGUGUGGAUGCCGCUCCUACACCGUCCCAGACAGUCACUGAGGCCCAGCUGUGCUUUGGGCAGUCCUGGGAGCUGCAAAUAUAUCCGGCGAACAAGACUGAGUCUCACUUGACUGACGUCUGUCAUUGAAGAGGCUGUUCUAACUGGGGACAACAGGAAGCCAACCAACCACGGCCACCAGCACCACCCCCUGGAGAACCUCAAGCCUCGAGGGAUAAAUACACAAUGGAAAUAAAGCAAGGCGAGAACCAUCGAGCGUGCCAGGGGAGCGACUUUAAAGGGAUGAUAUUGAAGGACCUCUCUGAGGAUGUGUGGUGAACAGCAAGAAGGGCCUGCCGUGCACAAAAAUCUAGGAAAAGAACAUUCUAGGAGAAGAGACCUGCCAGCGGAGAGGCCCUAAGACAAGACUGAGCUUAGCUGGAGGAAUGGCGAGAGGCCCCGGUGGCAGGGAUGAGGAACUUUAUAAUAGAGGUCUUUUAUUGCCAUUCAAGAGCUGUAGCAACCAAGGCACAGAGAUGUUGAGCAAGUUGUCCGAGGUCACAGAGAGGCCGGGUGGCAAAGCAGGAAUGGAAUUGAUCCUCCAUCUUCAAGAGUUGAUGCGUAGGAGCUUGGCCUGAAUUUUAACCACGGAAGCAUGAAAAGUGGCGGAUACCCCACUUUGGGACAUGAACAGGAAGUUUGAGAAGUGACAGGCCACAGGCACAGGCCAGCCCUGCUGAGAAAUCGCCAUCAGGAGCAAACCACAUGUCCUGUGAACUCGGGGACCUGCCAGCAAAAUUCCCUGAUGCUGGAACUUCGGGCAGAGAGCGCCGGUCUUGCGCUGAUUGGCGUCAGGAGCCAAGUGUGGUGGGGGAGGGGAGUCAGCACAUAUUUCUCCGCUGAACUCCGUUUCCCAUUUGGUUUGGCAGCUUGUUUUUCAUGAAAUGAGGCCAAUCCACGAAUUCCGUGUCAACAUCGCUCCUUUUACUGGAACCGCAAAGGCAGCCCCCCGGGACUGGCUCCAUCUCUGGGCAGACAUCAAAACAACCCCUUUUCGCUUUGAAAGCAUAGCAGGCGUCUCAGAGCCCCCCACUUCCUUACCUGUGUUUCCCUCUGAGGAAGAAAGCAAGGACCAGGGCCGUGGCUGCAGUGCCCCGAGCUCACUGUUGGCACAGCAGCCCUGGGCUGGCCACGCUGAGGGUUCUCCUGGCCCUGCUGCCUGUCUUCCCUUUCUUGUGCGUCCAAGGCCCGGAGGCUCCUUCCUGCCUGCUUGUCUCGCUUCCAGGACUAGCUUGAUGAGUAGGCAUGGCCUCCCCAGCCCCUCAGCUGUCACCCUGCCACAGCUGCCCUCCUGCUGCGACCUCAGGGGGUUGCAGAAGGUGCUGUGGCAUCCAAAAUCCACUCCCCAUCAGGGACUAGAGCCGAACUUCCGAGGCCUCCAGGGCUCCUCUGCUCUGGGGAGGGGGCCUCCUCUUAGCUGCUCCAACACCUGCUGCCCAGCGGGGUGGGGCCGGUGUGCAGGUAGGAGCAAGCAGGCACAUUUGGGAAGGAGAAUAAUAGUGGGUAGUGAGUAGCGGACAGUCAGAAGUGGCUUUAUUGGCAACUGGUACGUACUGAUGGGCACGUCAGCAGCAAGGUUCACUGCAUACGAGGUUGUCUGCAUGAGAGAGGAGGUGGGAGAAAGGCUGUCCUGGGGCAUGGGGUGACCUGGCUCCAGGUCACCUUUCUCUAGGAAGGUCCUGCUCUGUGUCCUCUCGACACCCUGUGCUUCUCUUGUGGCUGCAGCCCCUGUCACGGCCUCUGCACGCUCCUGUCUUCCCAGCUGCUGUCUUCCUCCCCAUCUCCUCCCAGGACCCAGCACCCUUGCGCAUAUGGUGAGGUCAGCGACCCCCUCCACUGUGUCAAGUGAGUGAAUGACUACUGGCUGCUCCUUGCAGUGCUGGGGAGACGAUGCAAGGGGCGGUGGGGUUGUCACGGCUCUAUCCCAAGGGGAGGUCCUGAGGCACCAACAGCGUAGCAGUUUUGCAGUGUGCCCGGAGUGUGAGUCUGGGCUCCAUGACUUACUAGCUGUGUGCUGGACAAGCUGUUUAUCUUUCUGUGCCUCAGUUUCUUCAUGUAUAAAAUAGAGAUAAUAAUACCUACCUAAUUUUUUUUGUGAGAAAUAAAUGAGUUAAUAUAUUUAAACUCCUUAAACAAAAAGUCUGAUAUUUUGUAAGCUCUUAAUAAAUGUCAGCUUAAGAAAUUUUUUUAAAACCCUAGAAGAGUCAGCUCUUGAAGCUGUCGUCAUUCAUUGCUGACUUCCUUUGUUCCCAUCUCGCUGGGCUCUUCCUAUUGCUAACGCGCUGGCCCGUUCCUGCCUCAGGGCCUCUGCACCUCUCUUCUCCCUGCCUGGCGUGCUCUUCCCCAGAUAUUCACACGGCUUCCUCCUUCACUUCAGGUAGGUCUUUACUGAAGUGCGAUUUCCUUGGAAGCCUUCCCUUUGGGCCUUAUCUAAAAGAGCAUACCCCUUGCCCUGUUUUGGGUUUCAUCAUGAGGGACUUACAGUAGAAUGCCCACGUGGGACUUGUGCAUUACAUUAUCUGAGUUUUGGUUGUGUCCACACUAAAAAGUCAGCUCCAUGAAGACGGGGACAUUGUUUCAUUCACUGUAUCAUUCCUGGUGCCCAGUAUAGUGUCUGCCACCUAACAGGUGCUUAGAAAUAGUUAUUGUUGGAUGGAUGGAGAGAUGGAUGGGUGGAUGAGUGGAUAGUUAGAUGGAUGGAUGGGUGGGUAGAUAGAUGGAUGGGUGGGUAGGUGGCUGGGUGGGUGGAUAGAUGUUUG
RNAcentral lists this long non-coding RNA (2898 nucleotides) under Equus caballus (horse). RNAcentral's name for it is "lncRNA (ENSECAG00000057846.1)". Lineage: Eukaryota; Metazoa; Chordata; Mammalia; Perissodactyla; Equidae. The record is from RNAcentral.